UGCGGUGUGGCUCAGUGGUAGAGCACUUACCUGGCAUGUAUGAGGCACUGGGUUCGACCCUCAGCACCACAU
This 72-nucleotide transfer RNA is filed under the name Marmota monax (woodchuck). It matches the Rfam family "tRNA". Rfam says of the family: Transfer RNA (tRNA) molecules are approximately 80 nucleotides in length. Their secondary structure includes four short double-helical elements and three loops (D, anti-codon, and T loops). The record is from Rfam by way of RNAcentral. Lineage: Eukaryota; Metazoa; Chordata; Mammalia; Rodentia; Sciuridae.